AAAAGUAAAUUUUGAGAAUUAAAUUUUUUUUUUCGGUUCUUGAAAACAUAAGAUAUUUGAGUAUAAAUUAGAACAACUGUAAAUUUAUGUUUAAAGUAAGAAUUUAAAUGCCGUGGCACGGGAUUAUGCCGGAAACUUGCCGGCACGGUACGGCACGGUCCGUGCCGAUCCGUCCUAAUAAAAAAAAAUUCUUAUUUACCGACACAUAAUAGCAUGAAAUAUUUAUUUUUUUUAGCAAUAAAAUAUUCUAACUAUUUAUUAUGUCUUUUUAUCACAUCUUUUGAAUUUUAUUGAGAUAAUUACUUAUUAGUUUAAUGAAUAGAGGGUUUUGAGCUGUGCCAUCAGCACGGGUAGAGACGUCAACGGGUCGGAUUCGGGGCGGGUUUUUAAAAAUCCGAACCCGAACCCGACUCCAAACCCGAGAUCCGAACCCGAACCCCAACCCGACGGAUUUCAAAAAUCCAUAUCCAAACCCGAACCUGACCAAAAAUCCGAAACCCGAACCCGAAUCCGAACCCGAAAAUUUGAACCCGAAAAAAAUAUUUCUUUUUUCAAUAUUUCAAAAUAUAUUAUAUUAAAUUUAAAUUUUUAAAAUACAAAUUUAAAUAUAACAUCAAAUUUAUAUAUAUAUAUAUAUAUAUAUAUAU
RNAcentral lists this long non-coding RNA (647 nucleotides) under Ananas comosus (pineapple). RNAcentral describes it as "long non-coding RNA (ACOM_LNC039987)". The record is from RNAcentral. Lineage: Eukaryota; Viridiplantae; Streptophyta; Magnoliopsida; Poales; Bromeliaceae.